RNAcentral lists this ribosomal RNA (451 nucleotides) under uncultured bacterium. RNAcentral describes it as "bacterial SSU rRNA". It matches the Rfam family "Bacterial small subunit ribosomal RNA", at positions 44 to 504 of the family's 1533-position model. The record is from RNAcentral.
GCGCCUUAUGCAUGCAAGUCGAGCGAAGCUUUUCAGUAGUUUACUACAGAAAAUGACUGAGCGGCGAACGGGUGAGUAACGCGUGAGCAACCUACCUUAGUUACUGGGAUAGCCCGAGGAAACUCGGAUUAAUACCGGAUAUUCUUAUUUAAUCACAUGAUUUUUUAAGGAAAGGUCAGCCGAACUAAGAUGGGCUCGCGUUCUAUCAGCUAGUUGGUAGGGUAAUGGCCUACCAAGGCUACGACGGAUAGCUGGUCUGAGAGGACGAUCAGCCACACUGGGACUGAGACACGGCCCAGACUCCUACGGGAGGCUGCAGCAGGGAAUAUUGCGCAAUGAGCGAAAGCUUGACGCAGCGACACCGCGUGUGGGAUGACGGAUCUAAGUUUGUAAACCACUUUCAGGAGGGAAGAAAAUGACGGUACCUCCACAAGAAGCCCCGGCCAACUAC